This 100-nucleotide non-coding RNA is filed under the name Bacillus sp. (in: firmicutes). RNAcentral describes it as "Bacillus sp. Guanine sequence". It matches the Rfam family "Purine riboswitch aptamer". From Rfam's summary of the family: Riboswitches are metabolite binding domains within certain messenger RNAs that serve as precision sensors for their corresponding targets. The record is from RNAcentral. Lineage: Bacteria; Bacillati; Bacillota; Bacilli; Caryophanales; Bacillaceae.
AAUUAUAUAUUUAAUUUCAUUCGUAUAUUCUUAGAGAUAUGGUCUAAGAGUUUCUACUAGGAGCCGUAAAAUCCUAACUACGAGUGGGUGGAUUCCUCUG